This 418-nucleotide long non-coding RNA is filed under the name Pan troglodytes (chimpanzee). RNAcentral's name for it is "long non-coding RNA NONPTRT015113". Lineage: Eukaryota; Metazoa; Chordata; Mammalia; Primates; Hominidae. The record is from RNAcentral.
CACGGGGCGAGCCCGAUAAGAGGGCUGUGGACGUUCGGGUCUAGUUGGGAGAGACAGGGGUCCCUGACUCUUGAGCGGUCAGUCAUUUCCUCCCCAGUCCUUGUGGGUGACGUGGCUACGGUUUGGAGCAGCAAGCCCCCUCCCCGAACUAAAGGGCCUCUCCAAAGGUUAAGCCAGGGCAGUCAUUGAGGUCAAAACCAAUAUGUAGUUUCUUGACUGCAGGUGCCCAGAAAGUCGCGUCUCCCCUAACCCCCAUGCCCAGGACCUGAGGACAAAGGUCUAGCGAUUGUCCAUCCCCUCCCCCAGUGAGAACAGCCGGGAAAGACCUGCCUUUGUUGUGUACAGAUGGUGUCUCACUGUGUUAUCCAGACUGGACUCAAAUUUCUGGGCUCCAAUGGUCCUCUCACCUCAGCCUCCC